AGAGUUUGAUCAUGGCUCAGGAUGAACGCCGGCGGUGUGCCUAAUACAUGCAAGUCGUACGCGUUGGCCCAACUGAUUGAACGUGCUUGCACGGACUUGACGUUGGUUUACCAGCGAGUGGCGGACGGGUGAGUAACACGUAGGUAACCUGCCCCAAAGCGGGGGAUAACAUUUGGAAACAGAUGCUAAUACCGCAUAACAAUUUGAAUCGCAUGAUUCAAAUUUGAAAGAUGGCUUCGGCUAUCACUUUGGGAUGGACCUGCGGCGCAUUAGCUUGUUGGUAGGGUAACGGCCUACCAAGGCUGUGAUGCGUAGCCGAGUUGAGAGACUGAUCGGCCACAAUGGAACUGAGACACGGUCCAUACUCCUACGGGAGGCAGCAGUAGGGAAUCUUCCACAAUGGGCGCAAGCCUGAUGGAGCAACACCGCGUGAGUGAAGAAGGGUUUCGGCUCGUAAAGCUCUGUUGUUAGAGAAGAACGUGCGUGAGAGCAACUGUUCACGCAGUGACGGUAUCUAACCAGAAAGUCACGGCUAACUACGUGCCAGCAGCCGCGGUAAUACGUAGGUGGCAAGCGUUAUCCGGAUUUAUUGGGCGUAAAGCGAGCGCAGGCGGUUUGAUAAGUCUGAUGUGAAAGCCUUUGGCUUAACCAAAGAAGUGCAUCGGAAACUGUCAGACUUGAGUGCAGAAGAGGACAGUGGAACUCCAUGUGUAGCGGUGGAAUGCGUAGAUAUAUGGAAGAACACCAGUGGCGAAGGCGGCUGUCUGGUCUGCAACUGACGCUGAGGCUCGAAAGCAUGGGUAGCGAACAGGAUUAGAUACCCUGGUAGUCCAUGCCGUAAACGAUGAGUGCUAGGUGUUGGAGGGUUUCCGCCCUUCAGUGCCGCAGCU
Molecule: ribosomal RNA, 890 nt
Filed under: uncultured bacterium
Lineage: Bacteria
Description: bacterial SSU rRNA
Rfam family: Bacterial small subunit ribosomal RNA
Source: RNAcentral